UAUUAGGGUUUUCCAUUUUUUUUCCUAAUCUUUACAGGAAAAUGCCACGGGCACUAUCUGUGUGAAGACAUUUCACUGCAGCUAAUGUAGAAGGAAAAGCUGUGUACAUUUUGCAAAUACUGUGCCAAUCAUAUGUGAAGAGUGCAGAAUCUGGUCAAGUGCAUAAAGUUCCCUCAACUUCUAUACGAGGUGUAAAUGAUUCAUUGGACACCUUAUCGAUAGCAACAGCUUAUGGUCCUCCUGGAAUCAGAAGUGUUUUUGACACAAUAGAGGAAUGUAGUCAGAUAUGCUGAUUGUCUUGCUCGAGCUGUGUAUUGCAACUGGUUCACUGAUGCUCACAGGCAAUGUGUAUGGGAAGAGAUUUCUUAAUGUUCUUCACCCAGCAUACAUCCCUCCAACCAGACAUGCUUUUAUCUCAUUUGAUGGAGACAGAUUUCAAGUGAAGGUCAAGCAAAUCAGAGAUAGCAGACUAUUGCAAUCAUCUCUGAUGGGUGGUCGAAUGUUCAUGGGCAAAGGAUAAUUAACUACAUCUCUACCCUUCAACCAGUAUUCCACAAGAGCACAGACACAAGAGACAACAGACGCACCGGUCUCUACAUUGCAGAUGAGCUGAAGGCAGUCAUCAAUGACCUUGAACCACAGAAGGUAUUUGCAAUGGUGACAGACAAUGCUGUGAACGUGAAGGCUGCUUGGUCUAAAGUGGAGGAGUCCUACCCUCACAUCACACCCAUUGGCUGUGCUGCUGACAGGUGUGGCAUAUCAAGAAGCUGAUUAAGCAGCAUGAUCAUUAACAGUGCAGAUCAUUUGGCAGUACAACCACAGACUGUAACCACGCCAGCCCAGGACCUCCACAUCUGGCUUCUUCACCUGCAGGAUCCUCUUAGACAAGCCACCCGGACAGCCAAUGAAACUGAGGAUUAUUUCUGUCUGUAAUAUAGCCCUUUUGGCGGAAAAAAAACGAAUUCCGAUUGGCUGGGUCUGGCUCCCCAGCGGGUGGGCCUAUGUCCUCCCAGGCCCACCCAUUGCUGUGCCCCUUCCCAGUCAUGUGAAAUCCAUAGAUUAGAGCCUAAUGAAUGUAUUUCAAUUGACUGAUUUCCUUAUAUGAACUGUAACUCACAGAAAUUGUUGUAUGUUGUUUUUAUAUUUUUAUUCAGCAUAGUUAAUGAAUUUCUAUCUAGAAGACAUUGUUAUAAAUCUAAUGUUGUAUCGGCUGUUCUUGCUGUGGCGGAUGAAUCAGAAUUAGUUGGGUAACAGAUAAUUAAGAUGUUUUAGUUGCAUAAUAUGCUUGUGUGAGAAACAUCAUUAGAAUGCAUCCCUUUGGACUCUAGUGUUGGCAGUUGCACUUUUCCCUCAGCUAGGGCUCAGUCACUUGGGGCCCAGAGAGGGGAGAGGUCAGAAUGGAACAUUGUCUUCAUAUGUGAAUGUGUCUUUACCUAUUCUUAAACCAUGUGAAGGGAUGGCGUGAUUAAUGGGGAACCAAUUACUUGUCUCCACAAUGUCUGUGCGCAAGUCACUCCCCUCAGUGAGCUUGUCCAGGAGUGGGGUCAAGAGGGGGGUUUACUUGAGAUGGGAGUAUCUAGAGUUGACAAUUGAUAUAUGCCAUUGGAUGAGUUGCUGUUUUUGUACUAUGAAGUACCAGGAAUGAGAUUAGAACCUCGUCUUAGGGACCAAACUGAAUGAUAAUUUAUAGCGAAUGCUAUCUGGCUAUGGGAUACUCCUCAAGUAAAAGUCCUUCUUUGUGAACAGUUCCUAGAUAUCUGUGGUUUGUCAUGUCAAAGGGGGGUGGAUCUUUGCUAUUAAAAAAGAUCUCAGUAGCCAUUGUGUUGACACUCAACGGUUCAUUAGAAAUGGCGAAUCUUUGAAAGUCAAGUGCUAAUGCAGAGCUCUUAUUAUUAAAGAUGUAGUUUAAGUAUAA
Oncorhynchus gorbuscha (pink salmon) is the source of this 1915-nucleotide long non-coding RNA. RefSeq lists it as uncharacterized. The record is from RefSeq and is a predicted model, not a curated record. The transcript is spliced from 2 exons. NCBI's taxonomy places the organism in Eukaryota, Metazoa, Chordata, Actinopteri, Salmoniformes, Salmonidae.